GAUGAACGCUGGCGGCGUGCCUAAUACAUGCAAGUCGAGCGAACAGACGAGGAGCUUGCUCCUCUGACGUUAGCGGCGGACGGGUGAGUAACACGUGGAUAACCUACCUAUAAGACUGGUAUAACUUCGGGAAACCGGAUCUAAUACCGGAUAAUAUAUUGAACCGCAUGGUUCAAUAGUGAAAGACGGUUUUGCUGUCACUUAUAGAUGGAUCCGCGCCGCAUUAGCUAGUUGGUAAGGUAACGGCUUACCAAGGCGACGAUGCGUAGCCGACCUGAGAGAGUGGUCGGCCACACUGGAACUGAGCCACGGUCCAGACUCCUACGGGAGGGAGCAGUAGGGAAUCUUCCGCAGUGGGCGAAAGCCUGACGGAGCAACGCCGCGUGAGAGAUGAAGGUCUUCGGAUCGUAAAACUCUGUUAUUAGGGAAGAACAAAUGUGUAAGUAACUAUGCACGUCUUGACGGUAACUAAUCAGAAAGCAACGGCUAACUACGUG
RNAcentral lists this ribosomal RNA (497 nucleotides) under uncultured bacterium. RNAcentral describes it as "partial 16S ribosomal RNA". It matches the Rfam family "Bacterial small subunit ribosomal RNA", at positions 28 to 507 of the family's 1533-position model. The record is from RNAcentral.